GAUGAACGCUGGCGGCGUGCCUAAUACAUGCAAGUCGAGCGAAAAGACGAGGAGCUUGCUCCUCUGACGUUAGCGGCGGACGGGUGAGUAACACGUGGAUAACCUACUUAUAAGACUGGGAUAACUUCGGGAAACCGGAGCUAAUACCGGAUAAUAUAUUGAACGGCAUGGUUCAAUAGUGAAAGACGGUUUUGCUGUCACUUAUAGAUGGAUCCGCGCCGCAUUAGCUAGUUGGUAAGGUAACGGCUAACCAAGGCAACGAUGCGUAGCCGACCUGAGAGGGUGAUCAGCCACACUGGAACUGAGACACGGUCCAGACUCCUACGGGAGGCAGCAGUAGGGAAUCUUCCGCAAUGGGCGAAAGCCUGACGGAGCAACGCCGCGUGAGUGAUGAAGGUCUUCGGAUCGUAAAACUCUGUUAUUAGGGAAGAAAAAAUGUGUAAGUAACUAUGCACGUCUUGACGGUACCUAAUCAGAAAGCCACGGCUAACUACGUG
This 497-nucleotide ribosomal RNA is filed under the name uncultured bacterium. RNAcentral describes it as "partial 16S ribosomal RNA". It matches the Rfam family "Bacterial small subunit ribosomal RNA", at positions 28 to 507 of the family's 1533-position model. The record is from RNAcentral.